CAGUAGCCGCGGUAAUACGAAGGGGGCUAGCGUUGCUCGGAAUGACUGGGCGUAAAGGGCGCGUAGGCGGAUCACGCAGUCAGAUGUGAAAUUCCUGGGCUUAACCUGGGGGCUGCAUUUGAGACGCGUGGUCUAGAGUGUGAAAGAGGGUCGUGGAAUUCCCAGUGUAGAGGUGAAAUUCGUAGAUAUUGGGAAGAACACCGGUGGCGAAGGCGGCGACCUGGUUCAUAACUGACGCUGAGGCGCGAAAGCGUGGGGAGCAAACAGGAUUAGAUACCCCGGUAGUCCCUGUCUCUUAUAC
RNAcentral lists this ribosomal RNA (301 nucleotides) under uncultured bacterium. RNAcentral's name for it is "partial 16S ribosomal RNA". It matches the Rfam family "Bacterial small subunit ribosomal RNA", at positions 509 to 807 of the family's 1533-position model. The record is from RNAcentral.